Molecule: ribosomal RNA, 505 nt
Filed under: uncultured Chloroflexota bacterium
Lineage: Bacteria; Bacillati; Chloroflexota
Description: bacterial SSU rRNA
Rfam family: Bacterial small subunit ribosomal RNA
Source: RNAcentral
CAAGGAAUUUUCCGCAAUGGGCGCAAGCCUGACGGAGCAACGCCGCGUGGGGGAGGACACCUUUCGGGGCGUAAACCCCUUUUCUCGGGGAGGACAACCGACAGUACCCGAGGAAGAAGGCCCGGCUAACUACGUGCCAGCAGCCGCGGUAAUACGUAGGGGCCGAGCGUUGUCCGGAAUUACUGGGCGUAAAGCGCGCGCAGGCGGCGUGCUAAGCCUGACGUGAAAGCCCCCGGCUCAACCGGGGAGGGUCGUCGGGGACUGGCGCGCUUGAGGGCGGUAGGGGCCGGUGGAAUUCCCGGUGUAGUGGUGAAAUGCGUAGAGAUCGGGAGGAACACCAGUGGCGAAGGCGGCCGGCUGGGCCGACCCUGACGCUGAGGCGCGAAGGCGUGGGGAGCGAACGGGAUUAGAUACCCCGGUAGUCCACGCAGUAAACGAUGCAGACUAGGCGUGGGGGACUUGACCCCCUCCGUCGCCGCGACGACCGACGACGAACGUACGUCGU